This 161-nucleotide unclassified non-coding RNA is filed under the name uncultured Chaetothyriales. RNAcentral's name for it is "sequence contains ITS2". Lineage: Eukaryota; Fungi; Ascomycota; Eurotiomycetes; Chaetothyriales. The record is from RNAcentral.
UCACCCCUCAAGCCCCGGCUUGGUGUUGGAUCCCGGGUCGCAAGGCCCCGGUCCCAAAGACAAUGACGGCGUCCAGAGGACCCUCGGUGCAACGAGCUUUCACGAGCACGCACUCGAGUUUCAAGGACCUUUGGCCCGGUCUCCCCUUUUAUUUUAUACAA